This 466-nucleotide ribosomal RNA is filed under the name uncultured bacterium. RNAcentral describes it as "partial 16S ribosomal RNA". It matches the Rfam family "Bacterial small subunit ribosomal RNA", at positions 28 to 507 of the family's 1533-position model. The record is from RNAcentral.
GAUGAACGCUGGCGGCGUGCUUAACACAUGCAAGUCGAACGAUGAAGCCCAGCUUGCUGGGUGGAUUAGUGGCGAACGGGUGAGUAACACGUGAGUAACCUGCCCUUAACUCUGGGAUAAGCCUGGGAAACUGGGUCUAAUACCGGAUAGGAGCGUCCACCGCAUGGUGGGUGUUGGAAAGAUUUAUCGGUUUUGGAUGGACUCGCGGCCUAUCAGCUUGCUGGUGAGGUAAUGGCUCACCAAGGCGACGACGGGUAGCCGGCCUGAGAGGGUGACCGGCCACACUGGGACUGAGACACGGCCCAGACUCCUACGGGAGGCAGCAGUGGGGAAUAUUGCACAAUGGGCGCAAGCCUGAUGCAGCGACGCCGCGUGAGGGAUGACGGCCUUCGGGUUGUAAACCUCUUUCAGUAGGGAAGAAGCGAAAGUGACGGUACCUGCAGAAGAAGCACCGGCUAACUACGUG